Long non-coding RNA from Gorilla gorilla gorilla (western lowland gorilla), 692 nucleotides. RefSeq lists it as uncharacterized. The record is from RefSeq and is a predicted model, not a curated record. The transcript has 3 exons. NCBI's taxonomy places the organism in Eukaryota, Metazoa, Chordata, Mammalia, Primates, Hominidae.
CCCAGCAAAAGAACGGCACACAGCAGUUGCUGCCCAAGCCUGGGUGCUCCUGGUGGUCCUGCACGAUCGGCUGUGCAGUAGGCUUGUCAAGGAGAGGAUCCUCCCUGGCCUCUCCUUGGGCAGAGGAGGUGGUCCAUAAAGCUGCCCUGGAGCCAAAAUAUUGCAGUCACAUCUCGGCAGCGACCUGCCCUCAGGUGGCAUUUUCAAGUCAUGGAGAAGGCGGAGCAGAGAUGAGGUUUUACCACAUUGGCCAGGCUGAUCUCAAACUCCCGACCUCAAGCGAUUCUCCUGCCUCAGCCUCCCAAAGUGCUGGGAUUAUAGGCAUGAGCCACUGCACCUGGUAUAAGGAGCCUGUUAUAGCACUGUCUCUUCCCCUGUGAUUGGGGGCUCCAUGCCUCUAGCUGGGAUGAUGAUGUCCAGACCUGAGAGGAGCCCAGGGCUACCCACCUUUAAAAGUCAGAGGCAGGAAGCAAGAAACAGUCACAGGACUGCCCUGGGGGGUGCUGUGGUCACCAGCCCCCAGGCUGGAAGCUGCCUCUGGCCUGGCACCUCCCCUCCCAAGAGGCUGCUGCCCGCCUCCCAGCCCUUCUUGGAUGGGGUGGAGGUUUCCGUCUCCUUCACCUCACCAAGCUUCUCCUGUAGCUCCUUUACUUGCUGCUCCAACUGCAGUGCGCUCUUGUUCUCAUUGUCCU